GACGAACGCUGGCGGCGUGCUUAACACAUGCAAGUCGAACGGAAAGGCCCUGCUUUUGUGGGGUGCUCGAGUGGCGAACGGGUGAGUAACACGUGAGUAACCUGCCCUUGACUUUGGGAUAACUUCAGGCAACUGGGGCUAAUACCGGAUAGGAGCUCCUGCUGCAUGGUGGGGGUUGGAAAGUUUCGGUGGUUGGGGAUGGACUCGCGGCUUAUCAGCUUGUUGGUGGGGUAGUGGCUUACCAAGGCUUUGACGGGUAGCCGGCCUGAGAGGGUGACCGGACAAAUUAGGACUGAGAUAAGGCACAGACCACUAAGGGAGGGAGGAGUGGGGAAUAUUGCACAAUGGGAGGAAGCAUGAUGCAGCAAAGCAGCGUGCGGGAUGACGGGAUUCGGGUUGUAAACCGAUUUCGCCUGUGACGAAGCGUGAGUGACGGUAAUGGGUAAAGAAGCACCGGCUAACUACGUG
This 468-nucleotide ribosomal RNA is filed under the name uncultured bacterium. RNAcentral's name for it is "partial 16S ribosomal RNA". It matches the Rfam family "Bacterial small subunit ribosomal RNA", at positions 28 to 507 of the family's 1533-position model. The record is from RNAcentral.